RNAcentral lists this long non-coding RNA (287 nucleotides) under Mus spicilegus (steppe mouse). Its description in RNAcentral is "lncRNA (ENSMSIG00000008436.1)". The record is from RNAcentral. Lineage: Eukaryota; Metazoa; Chordata; Mammalia; Rodentia; Muridae.
CCCCAUUAAUAUCUGUAUCACUCCCACACAUGAAAUCUGUAUGCUAAUACCGUAUUUGUUAUUCGCAGGAUGUGAAUUCCCUUCUGCUUUUUCAUGGUGCUGAGAGUAUGCCCGAGAAUAACAAGAGGUUGAGCCUGUUCAGAGAAAGAGUAACCAGACACCACGAGGCUCAUGGAUGUGACUUGACCUGAGCCUGAGAGUUCCUUCAAAGGAGCUGCUUUCCUGGAGUGGAAGUCUUAAGAGACAUUCUCAGCUGCACAUUAAUCAACUGGAUAGAAGCAGGAAGC